GACGAACGCUGGCGGCGUGCCUAAUACAUGCAAGUAGAACGCACAGUUUAUACCGUAGCUUGCUACACCAUAGACUGUGAGUUGCGAACGGGUGAGUAACGCGUAGGUAACCUGCCUGGUAGCGGGGGAUAACUAUUGGAAACGAUAGCUAAUACCGCAUAAUAUUAAUUAUUGCAUGAUAAUUAAUUGAAAGGUGCAAUUGCACCACUACCAGAUGGACCUGCGUUGUAUUAGCUAGUAGGUGAGGUAACGGCGCACCUAGGCGACGAUGCAUAGCCGACCUGAGAUGGUGGUCGGCCACACUGGGACGGAGACACGGCCCAGACGGCUACGGGAGGCAGCAGGAGGGAAUCUGGGGCAAGAGACGAAAGUCUGACCGAGAAACGCCGCGGGAGUGAAGAAGGUUUUCGGAUCGUGAAGCUCGGUUGUAAGAGAAGAACGGGUGUGAGAGUGGAAAGUUCACACUGUGACGGUAUCUUACCAGAAAGGGACGGCUAACUACGUG
Molecule: ribosomal RNA, 505 nt
Filed under: uncultured bacterium
Lineage: Bacteria
Description: partial 16S ribosomal RNA
Rfam family: Bacterial small subunit ribosomal RNA
Source: RNAcentral